Molecule: ribosomal RNA, 292 nt
Filed under: uncultured bacterium
Lineage: Bacteria
Description: partial 16S ribosomal RNA
Source: RNAcentral
GGACUACUCGGGUUUCUAAUCCCGUUCGCUCCCCUGGCUUUCGUGUCUCAGCGUCAGCACACCCCCAGCGAGUUGUUUUCACCAUUGGCGUUCCAAAUGAUAUCUACGCAUUUCACCGCUCCACCAUUUGUUCCACUCGCCCCUAGGUGGCUCAAGACUCCCAGUAUACCGAGCAGUUCCACGGGUAAGCCGUGGGAUUUCACAAGGUACUUAGAAGUCCGCCUACACACGCUUUAAGCCCAGUGAUUCCGCCUAACGCUCGAGGCCUCUGUAUUACCGCGGCUGCUGGCAC